GCUCUGACUCAUAAAAAUCACCCUCUCCCUGUAAGCGAGGGAAAAAAAGAUAAAACAGCACUUCUUCAGCAAGGUUUAAAUUUUGCUUCUUUAUUCUGGUACAUUUUAAGCUUUAAUUAGCACGUUUGAUCCUCUUAAACAGAAAUCAGAAUGUGUGAAAUCUUUAUAUUAGCAGAAAGAAGAGAGACCUUGGAAACAGGUGGAUCUUGUUCAUUACUAUAUCUGAGAUCUAGCCUUCUCCCUAAAUUAAUUAGUUGCAAAUUAGUUUUGUAAUUCAAUGAAAAAUUGAACAUGCUUGAGCAAGCAACCUUCCGAGAAGCUAGACACGAACAUGCAUAGAUUUCAGUUCUAUCUAGACAGAUUCCUCUCUCCAAAACCUGUCACUAAGGUAUAAUCCCCAGGGCUCAAUAUAGGUAUGAAACUGAAGAGAUGUAAAGCUCCAUAGUGCUAUUUGCAAAAAAACCGAAAUGAGUAUUACAUUCAAUAAUAAUUAUGCUGGGCUGCUUUCCAUUAUCACUGAACAGGUUCAGACAAAGCUACUGCUGGAGAAGGGACAAAUCUCCCAAGAGAAGUUACUUAAAAGCUUGGGGAAUGAUCUUGUGGAAUGUCCCCUGUGUAAAUGGAACAUGGAGCUUUUGCAGUGGAAAAUAAUUUGUUGGGAAUUCUCAUCUACAGCAGAAAACAGCUUUUUCCUGCAGGGAAAUGAAAAGGAUAUUACUAACUGACAAUCUGCUCCCUUUCUUUUAGGAAUGGAUUUGACUUGUUACAAGCAGAGAGAGAGAGAAAAUCUGGCCUUUGACCCCAGGUGAAUUUAGAGAAAGUAACUUCUGAAUUCAGAUGCUUGAUUCACUCCUAUGGCUUGGGUUCUGUUUCGAGACCUGAGAGGUUCUGUUUUCUGAUUUAGACUGAAAUACAUACGACUUGUAUUUCCUUAGAAAGCCAGAAGCUGAUAAGCUGAUGAGGGUCUUGAAGAGAACCGCAUUAGCAUUGUGAGAAAACUGAAAAGGGAGCUGUGACAAUGCCAACAAAUCAUGGAUCCAGCAACAGAGAAAACUCAUUGCCCUCCCUGGAUUUGAAGAGGAGACAGCUGAGUCAGAAUGGACUGAGCUCACAUUUCAUCAUCUUGACUCAAAGUUAUUCCUAAGGGCAAGAACUAGUCAGCUAUGUCACAGUCUCCUGGGAAGCUGUGGUAACCCCUUUGGCUUGAUGCAGACAAAGAAGGGAAAAAGCACACCACACUGAACAGCUCUGCACUGGCUGAUGGGCAGUAGAUUUGAAGAGCAUGGCUGGGACAGGCUGGUGGCACCGCCAAGACUCACAGCAAAUGGAGUUCGGCUGCUUGCAGUUUUUGAAGAGGUUAUCUCCCAGCUCACCACUGAGGUAGUCUUUGUCAUGUUUCUCUUCAAGCUGGUUAAGUUCCUUCUUUUUAUAGAGUGGAAUACUACUGAUUUGUAAUGAAUAGUUUCCAGGCACUGGCUUCUUCUUUGUGAAAUGAAGUGUUGUGAGGGCAGGGAGCAGUUCCAGGAUGCGGUCUUUGUUACUGAGAUCUGAGAUGUUGAUGGAGAAGACUGCUGCUUUCUCAACAUCCCAGCUGGCGAGACUGAUGGGCGGCUGCAGCUCUUGCUCAUCCUGCACAAGAACAAAUGAUGUCAGUUGGCUUUCUCAGAGCGCGUUCCAUGCAUGCCUGUGUGUAUGUGUUGCUCACCCAGCUCAUUCAUUAUUAAUUAAAUACUUUUCAGAAGGA
Long non-coding RNA from Pezoporus flaviventris, 1744 nucleotides. RefSeq lists it as uncharacterized. The record is from RefSeq and is a predicted model, not a curated record. The transcript is spliced from 6 exons. Lineage: Eukaryota; Metazoa; Chordata; Aves; Psittaciformes; Psittacidae.